Molecule: long non-coding RNA, 1510 nt
Filed under: Malus domestica (apple)
Lineage: Eukaryota; Viridiplantae; Streptophyta; Magnoliopsida; Rosales; Rosaceae
Description: long non-coding RNA (MDOM_LNC004136)
Source: RNAcentral
UUUUUUCUUAUCCUAGUAAACAUGACAAGUUUCUGUCCCCUCAAGCUGCCCUGGUAACUUUUUUUUCUUCCACUUUCUUCUUUUCCCUCCGCCCUUUGUUCAAAUUUCCCAUUGUUUUACACUCUUGGGUCAACAAUUGGAUGUUAGCUUGAAUUAUUAUCCAACGAAUAAGAGACUUGAAGUUUAAUUGAUUAACACGCAUGACACAACGCUUCCUCUUAAGUUGAUCUGGUGAUUUUUUCCUUUUACUUCUUCUGCUUCCCUCCAUUUUUCGCUCUUGUUUCUCGUUAGAGACCACUUAAAAAAUACUGAACAAACAAGAGACUUGUAGCUGAAACAGUUAACAAUAAUUAAUUAUGCACUUGAAGUCCAACGUUCGAUUUUCGCUAAAUGAAAAUUCUUUGUCACUUUCAAGAUUCAAAUAUACCUACAGAGGAAGAAAUGUUCCUUAAACGAAACAGAACAAGGACAACGGGACAACCUUCGUGAAACUUAACCAACAAACGAAUAAAUAAAUAAGUAAAUAAAUAAGGAGUAUGAUUAUUUCCCCUCUUUUUUUCAUCUCCUUCUUCUCACAUUAUCUAUUUUGUCUUUCUCUUUUUAUAAAAAAAUAAUAUAAGAUGUUGACGUGGCUUAAUUGUGACCGUUCAAAUAGGAGGAGAGGGAAGGAGAAGGAACAAAAAAGGAGAGAGAAUCAUACUUCAAUAAAUAAACGCAGAAGUGCCUUUAUGGAAGUGCAAGGAGACAUUUUCCAAAAAAUUCCAAUACAAUUUUCUUUCUUUCUUCUAUAUCUCGGCCUGCAAAAGAUAAGGUUGGUAUUUAUUUCGAGUUUCACAUGAUUUAUUAAUAUUUAAUGACAUAAUUGAAUUGUUCGUUGCUUAUUAGCAUUUGGGUGCAAAAUAUAUUGCUUGAAAUCUUGAAAAUCUGCUGCUCAAUAUGUUAGUGUGUAAAUUAUGAUCUGAUGUGGCAGUUGCAAUUCCAGCUCAUAUUGCUAGGAUGUUUAGCUAAAUUGGUUGUAUGCUUAUUUAUUUAAGUCUCAUAGGUCUUAAGUAAGUAGACAUGUGUUUUCAUCUCAUAGGGUGUAAGAUGGAAGGCUGAGAUUGUUUUGAUGUAAUUUGAAUACUACCAAAAGAGUGCAACGAUUAGAAGUGAGUGGAAUUCCCUUCAUCUCUCAGAUAAAUGAAAUGGUGAAUGUGUGAAGAAUAUUCAGAGUCAUAUUCAUUUAAAAAUAGCUCAAAACCCAUGAUAUCUCAUGGUUUUCAUUUAUCAGAAAAUAAGAAUAUUUUAAACACAUUACAUAAAUAAUUCACCUCAAUAAUUCAAGCUUUGGCAAGGCAACUCAACUAACAUCUCCACAAACCUCAAACCCUAGCUCGCUAUCUCUCUCUAUACCUAUAUAAUAUAUAUACACACACACGUACAUACAUAUAUAUACAUAGAUAUAUACUAAUGUACAUCACCCCUACGUAAUGCAUGCAUUGCAUGCUUCUGUGGUUUCAAAAGAAUGGAG